RNAcentral lists this long non-coding RNA (794 nucleotides) under Malus domestica (apple). RNAcentral describes it as "long non-coding RNA (MDOM_LNC013353)". Lineage: Eukaryota; Viridiplantae; Streptophyta; Magnoliopsida; Rosales; Rosaceae. The record is from RNAcentral.
CAUCAAUGUUAUAGUAAACGCAGCCCUUGCAACAAAGUUUACCCAUGGCUCCCACGCACUUUUCAAACUAAAAAAAUAUAAGAAAACCAAAAACUGACCAGAAAAAGGUGGAAACAAUACAUAUACGAACUAGAAGCAGAUAAAUAAAUCGACAUUGAUACUGGUGUCUUCAAGCAGCCACGCUGUGAAGCACGACGGUCUCCACCGUGAGGCCAGGCCCAAAUCCAAAUAGCACACCCCAUUCCAGUCCUUCUCCAGUUGUCUCCAGUCCUUUCUCAGCUGACUUCCUCCUCACCUCGUCCAAAAUAAACAAGACACACGCACUCGACAUGUUGCCGUAAUCUGACAACACUUGCCUUGUCGCUUCUAAUUUCUCCGGCUUCAACGCCAACUUGGCCUCUACUUGGUCCAGAAUAGCAGGGCCACCUGGGUGUGCAAUCCAGAAGAGUGAGUUCCAGUCCGAAAUGCCUAUAGGCUUGAAGGCCUCGUUAAGGCUCUUUUCGAUGUUCUUUGAAAUAAGCCCGGGAACGUCCUUCAAAAGGUGAAACGUAAGCCCUACUUCACGGAGAUGUCCGUCGAUAGCCCCAUCACUGUCAGCGAGAAUGGUUUGUGCCGCCGAGACCAAUUCAAACAAGGGCUUCUCGACUUCGGGCACUGGGUCGGCACCAAUGAUGACGGCCGCUGCACCGUCGCCAAACAAGGCUUGACCCACAAGACUGUCAAGGUGGGUGUCACUAGGCCCACGGAAGGUGACCGCGGUGAUCUCAGAGCACACAACAAGAACACGUGCACCC